GCUGGCUGCAUAUAAAUCUGACAGUCAUUCCAUAGCUUGCCAAGCAGAGCUAACAAGAAAAGUACCUGUACGAUGCUCUAGUCUGGGAGAAACUUCAAGAAGAUUUUAAGACAUACACUGGGAGCAGCAGAACGUAAAAGGGAUCAUAUUUGCUUUGAAGAUAAGCAUUAAUACAUGGACACAGCUCUCCUUUUCCUAGCAAGAACAGAGUUCCCAAAACCUAUCCCUAGUUUGCCUGUCUGCUUGUAGAAAAAAAAAGAAAUACAUUUGAAAAGCCACAGGUAUUAGUCAUCAACUCUGGUGAUUAUGCAGUGAAAUAAUCAAACCACCUUAUGUGGCUUCCUUCUGUUGCUUCCAGAGCUUCUGGUGUGCUCCUUAAUAGGGGACCUGGUACCUCUUUUGUGAAGCAGCAGGUGAGACUCUGGCGCUCGCCAUGGCUGAUGAAAGGUCCAAGGAAGGAGUUAAGACUGAGAACAACCAUCAUACUAAAUUGAAGGUGGCAGGGCAGGAUGGUUCUGUGGUGCAGUUUAAGAUUAAGAGCCUCUUAAUCUUAAACUAAUGAAAAGCCUAUGGUGAAUGACAGGGUGUGUCAAUGAGGCAGAUGGGAUUCUGAUUUGAUGGGCAGCCAAUUAAUGUAACAGACACACCUGCACAUGGAAAUGGAGGAUGAAGGUGCAGUUGAUGUGUUCCAGCAGCAGACAGGAGGUGUCUACUAAAAAGGGAACCUGCCGCUUUAAUCCAGAGUUCUCUCUGUUCUUACAGACCAAGAACAUAUUCUCAAUUUGAAAAGUGCAAUUUGGUUCCACCUCAUCCUGACUACCACAGUACAUUAUUCUUUUAUUUUCCACUUUCCC
RNAcentral lists this long non-coding RNA (854 nucleotides) under Marmota monax (woodchuck). Lineage: Eukaryota; Metazoa; Chordata; Mammalia; Rodentia; Sciuridae. The record is from RNAcentral.